This 253-nucleotide ribosomal RNA is filed under the name uncultured bacterium. Its description in RNAcentral is "partial 16S ribosomal RNA". It matches the Rfam family "Bacterial small subunit ribosomal RNA", at positions 524 to 776 of the family's 1533-position model. The record is from RNAcentral.
UACGGGGGGGGCAAGCGUUGUUCGGAAUUACUGGGCGUAAAGGGAGCGUAGGCGGUCUUAUAAGUCAGUGGUGAAAUCUCGUUGCUUAACAACGAACGUGCCAUUGAUACUGUAGGACUUGAGUACAGUUGCCGUUGGCGGAAUGUGUCAUGUAGCGGUGAAAUGCAUAGAUAUGACACAGAACACCGAUUGCGAAGGCAGCUGACGAAACUGUAACUGACGCUGAGGCCCGAAAGCGUGGGGAUCAAACAGG